This 497-nucleotide ribosomal RNA is filed under the name uncultured bacterium. Its description in RNAcentral is "partial 16S ribosomal RNA". It matches the Rfam family "Bacterial small subunit ribosomal RNA", at positions 28 to 507 of the family's 1533-position model. The record is from RNAcentral.
GACGAACGCUAGCGGCGUGCCUAAUACAUGCAAGUAGAACGCUGAAGCUUGGUGCUUGCACCGAGCGGAUGAGUUGCGAACGGGUGAGUAACGCGUAGGUAACCUACCUGGUAGCGGGGGAUAACUAUUGGAAACGAUAGCUAAUACCGCAUAAGAGUAGAUGUUGCAUGACAUUUGCUUAAAAGGUGCAAUUGCAUCACUACCAGAUGGACCUGCGUUGUAUUAGCUAGUUGGUGAGGUAACGGCUCACCAAGGCAACGAUACAUAGCCGACCUGAGAGGAUGAUCGGCCACACUGGGACUGAGACACGGCCCAGACUCCUACGGGAGGCAGCAGUAGGGAAUCUUCGGCAAUGGACGGAAGUCUGACCGAGCAACGCCGCGUGAGUGAAGAAGGUUUUCGGAUCGUAAAGCUCUGUUGUAAGAGAAGAACGAGUGUGAGAGUGGAAAGUUCACACUGUGACGGUAUCUUACCAGAAAGGGACGGCUAACUACGUG